CACAAUUGCCAAGACGUCGUCCAUGAUCACAGAGACAUUGGUCCAUGAUUGGAGCGGCAUUGUUGAGGAUGAGGGAGACAUCGUCCACGAUCAGAGAUGUUGUCCACGAUCGCACAGACCUUGUCAAAGAUGAGAGAGACGUUGUCCAUGAUCAGAGACAUUGUCCCAUGCUUCGUAGAGACCUUGCGAUAGAAUCGGCGGAGACGGGGGUCACCGAUUUGAUGGCAUUGCCCGCGAUCAUGGAGACAUUGUCGAUGAUCACAGAGAUACCGUCUAUGAUCUCAGAGACAUCGUCCACGAUCGUAAAGACAUUGUCCAUGAUCAUAGAGACUUUGUCCAUAUUCUCAGAGACAUUGUCCACGAUCACAAAGAUGUCGUCCACGAUCACAGAGAGUCUUCGUACAAUAAAGAAGUGCUUUGAGAACCGGGACUGAGGCCUCCAGGUGUAACCACUUUGUCCACAACAUCGUCCAUGAUCGCAGAGACUUCAUCCAUAAUCGGAGAGACAUUGCUGAAGAUGAGGGAGACAUUGUCCAUGAUUGCAGAGACAUUGUCCAUAAUUUCAGAGACAAGAAGGAGAAGCUGAAGCAGCUGAAGACCUGAAGUGGAUGAAAGAAAAGUGUUACAAAGCUGUUAAUUAGAUAAGAGACCUCCACCAUCUAACUGCUGUAAACAGUGCUGGUUUCCUGUUGUUCAAGUGAAAACACAGUUUUUCUCUAGUCAUGGGCACAUUUCCCAAAGACUUUAUUAAACACCUGUGAGAACAUUCAACAGCUUAUGACACAACUAUUUAAUAAUUGUAUCACAAGUAGUUAAAUGAUCACAAAGAUGCUUCAUAGACAUGUUAAUCUUUGGAAAAUGUGCUCA
Long non-coding RNA from Lates calcarifer (barramundi perch), 867 nucleotides. RefSeq lists it as uncharacterized. The transcript is spliced from 3 exons. The record is from RefSeq and is a predicted model, not a curated record. Lineage: Eukaryota; Metazoa; Chordata; Actinopteri; Centropomidae.